CCGGCGACCGGCGCACGGGUGAGUAACACGUAUGCAACCCGGCCGUCACAGGUGGAUAACCGGAAGAAAUUCCGACUAAUACAGCAUAACACUCCUGAGGGACAUCCUUCGGGAGUCAAAGGAGGCAACUCCGGUGACGGAUGGGCAUGCGGCGCAUUAGGUAGUUGGUAGGGUAACGGCCUACCAAGCCGACGAUGCGUAGGGGUUCUGAGAGGAAGGUCCCCCACAUUGGAACUGAGACACGGUCCAAACUCCUACGGGAGGCAGCAG
Molecule: ribosomal RNA, 270 nt
Filed under: uncultured bacterium
Lineage: Bacteria
Description: partial 16S ribosomal RNA
Rfam family: Bacterial small subunit ribosomal RNA
Source: RNAcentral